Molecule: ribosomal RNA, 431 nt
Filed under: uncultured bacterium
Lineage: Bacteria
Description: bacterial SSU rRNA
Rfam family: Bacterial small subunit ribosomal RNA
Source: RNAcentral
UCGAGGAUUUUCGGCAAUGGGCGCAAGCCUGACCGAGCGACGCCGCGUGCGCGACGAAGGCCUUCGGGUUGUAAAGCGCUGUCGGGGGGGAGAAAGCCGCAAGGUUGAUCUAUCCCCGGAGGAAGCACGGGCUAAGUUCGUGCCAGCAGCCGCGGUAAGACGAACCGUGCGAACGUUGUUCGGAAUCACUGGGCUUAAAGGGCGCGUAGGCGGUUCAUCAAGUCAGGAGUGAAAUCUUUCGGCUUAACCGGAAAAGUGCUUCUGAUACUGAUGAUCUCGAGGGAGGUAGGGGUCCGCGGAACUUCUGGUGGAGCGGUGAAAUGCGUUGAUAUCAGAAGGAACGCCGGUGGCGAAAGCGGCGGACUGGAUCUCUUCUGACGCUGAGGCGCGAAAGCUAGGGGAGCAAACGGGAUUAGAUACCCCCGUAGUCC